GCUCCCAGCAGCAGCUGUGUCCAAGCAGGUCUCUUCGGGGCAACUGUCUCCCCACACUGCUCCACACAAGCAGCUGUGGCCCCUCCCCUGAAGCAGGGCAGGGUAGGACAAGCCCUGGGCAGGGCUCCACACCCCCCAGCCAGGACUAGCUAUGAAGAAUCUGAACCAUUUUCCUCUAAGUAUGCAGCAUUUUCCAACAUUUACCCAGAACAAGAUAUGCUGAACAGAAAUAUGAAGAAGAAAUGCAAUGCACAGAAACACUAUCAUGAGCAGUGACAUUAUUACUAUCCAGCUCUCAAAAAAGAGCAGCAGAAAAGAAUGAAGAGUCAAGCUGAAGUAAGUGAAAACUGGGGACCAGAAGUCAGUGAGGGGACAAUUUACAUGGAUUUCAAUUUUUUUCAGUAGAAAAAUAUUUUGCUGUUUUAGAGACUUAAAUAACUUAAGAACCACACCACUGAAUAUAUUGUUGCAUUCUUUGCACAUAAACUUUAAUUUACAUCACUACAGCCUUUACUACACAGGAAAUAUAUUAAGUUACCCUAUAAACCAGACAAAAACUUUAAAUUUCUGAUUUAAGGCAUUUCAGUACAAGGCAUUUCAGUACAUUUCACUCAAGGCAUUUCAGUACAAUAAGCCAACAUCUCAUGAAAUCAGAAAGUAGUGAAAUUGUCUGAAUGCAGUUUUACACACACACACACGAAACACUAAAUAAACAUUUUAAAGCUGACUCUGUCUUAGUGCUGAAGCACAUAGAUUUUUGAAUAAUAAAGCAUGUAACCUUGGCUAGAAAUGAGAAACCAUAACAAAAAGUAUAUUAAAUACACUGUAAUACUACAAUUUCUAAAGCUAAAGUUUUAGUGAAGUUAGUGAACAAUUUUAAAAUGUAAUGUCAAGCUAUAAACAGCCAGUAUUAAAAAUAAAUUAACCUUCAAGAUUCUGACUCAAAUAUAUAAUUGCUGCACUUCUUUUAAAGUCAAAUAACUAUCCUUAAAGAACUGGGUAGGUCUGCAUUAAAAUCUUAACUAAGAUUUCUAUAGGCGUUUUAUCAGUUUUAAUGGUGACCUUUAUUUCAAAACACAUAGAAGCAGCAGUGUUAUUAAGAACUUAUCACAAUAAUACUAUUCUUUUACUCUGCUCUAGUGAUAAAUCAUAAUUCUGCUCUUGAAAUAAAAGCCAGACAAUGCUUCUGGUGGCUCCUUUUUACUCUCUGAAAAUAAUUUCUUCCUAAAUUUGUUUUUCUUCAUACUCUUUCAAACUCAGAACAGUCCUUCUUACAUUUGCUCCUAAUGCCUUCCUAAAGUCAUAAUCCCACCCAAGAAAGUCAACCAAAAUCUACAAACUGAUGUACAAGAGAGUGUAAUCAAAUGUUGAAGGGCACAUAUGUUAAUGGAUAAAGACACUGUCUUCUUUUCCAUACCCCUGGACAUAUUAACUAGACCCGUGCAAGUAGGGAAGUAUUUGAUUUGGAUUUGGCCAAUUCAAAGGACAGUGAUUUGAUUUGGAGAUUUGGAUCACUGUCCCAAAUAGAUUCGGCUGAAUCUGCUUUGGAAGAUUUGACGCCGACUCGGAGAGAUUUGGUGAUUUGGAUCAGCCAGGGAGAGGCAGGCACAGUCUGCCUCACACUCUUUGGCUGAAGGAGCAGCAAUUGGGGCCUCUGGGCACUUGUGGCAGAGCCCUCCCCAUGCACUGUGGGCCAGUUGGGUGCAGCAGGGAUUGCUCCCCCCCCGCCUGGAACCCGCAUGACACCUGACCUAUGGUGCGGGUACAGUGUAGCUUAGCAGGGCGCCACACGCUGCCUGGGACCUGGGGCCACUGGGUCUGAGUGGUGCCAGGCUAUGGCUGACACAUGGAGCUGUCCCAGCUCCCAGGCAGUGCGCAGCACCCUGCCAAGCCACGCUGCACUCGUGCAAUGCGACAUCUGCCACAAGGGUGCCAAACGGGGGUCCCCGCUGCCCCCCACUGCCCUGCACUAUGUGGUGGGGCUCUGCCACAAGUGCCCAGAGGCCCCAAACGCCACUCCUGCAGCUGGUGAGUG
Molecule: long non-coding RNA, 2035 nt
Organism: Alligator sinensis (Chinese alligator)
Lineage: Eukaryota; Metazoa; Chordata; Crocodylia; Alligatoridae
Exons: 3
Source: RefSeq, a predicted model, not a curated record